UUAUUUAAUGUUAACAUUUUAUAGAAUAUAUACUCAAUUCAAGAACAGAGGAAAAGAAAGUGUUUUCAGCAAAUAACACUAGAACACCUGGUAUCUGUAUAUAAAAAAUUAACUUCAAUCCUUUAUUUCCAUACAUAAAAAUAACUUGAAAGGAUCUAUGAACCUAAAUAUGAAAGACUAAAAUUGUAAAACUUUAAGAAAAAAUUAUAGGGGAAAAUGUUUAUAAAUUUCGGGUAGGCAAGAACUUCCUAGGAUACAAAAAACAUGAUAUAUAAAAGAAAAGAAUUGAUAAAUGAGAUUCCAUCAAAAUUUAGAACUUUAAAUGACAUCAUUAAAAUGAAAAAUAGUCCUUAAAACAGACCAUAUUUACAAUGCAUAUAACCUAUGACCAGAAUAUAUAAAGAGCUCUUACGGCUCAUUAAUAGACAACCCAGUUAAAGAGUAGACACAAGAAGAUGAUAAAUGGCCAGUACAGCACAAGGAAAGGUAUGCAACACUAGAAUCAGAAAAAUACUAAUCAGUACAAUAACAAGAUUGAAUUAUACACUCAUUAGGGAGAUGAAGUUAAAAGUUUUAAAAGCCCUGUCAUGACUUUUUCUUUUUGUUGGAUUCUCCCCCUUUGCAUUUAAUUUGUCAAGCCGAACAGAUUCAUUCUGCUGGGCUUCCUGGUGUUGUGAUCCUCAUUGUCUUUUUCUAGGGUAUUGUCUAAAAUUUUUUGGAGUGCUGGUUUGGUAUACAUGAAGUUCCUAAGGUGCUCUUUAUCAUGAAAGCAUCUUAUUUCUCCAUCAAUUUUGAAAGAUAGUUUUGCAGGGUACAUCAAUCUGUGUUGGAGGCUGUUUUCCUUUAGGGCUUGACAUACAUCACUCCAAGCUCUUCUUGCCUUGAGGCUUUGCAUUGAGAAGUCUGCUGUGAUUCUGAUGGGCUUUCCUUUGUAUGUGAUUUGUUUCUUUUCUCUCACUGCUUGUAGAAUUGUAUUCUUCUGUUGGAUUUCUGGAAUCCUAACUAUGCUAUGCCUAUGUGUAGAUUUUUUUUGAUUAAGGCUAGCUGGAGUCCUAUAUGCCUCACUUAUCUGUAUGUCAAGUUCUUUUCCUGCCAUCACUUCUGUGAAGAGUUUUUUUUUUAUGUCAUCUGCACUCUCUCCUCUUUCUUCAUUGACUCCAAUCAGUCUUAUGUUAUUCUUCUUUGCAUUGUCUAGCAGCUGCUGGAUUGAUUUCUCGUGUUC
RNAcentral lists this long non-coding RNA (1222 nucleotides) under Heterocephalus glaber (naked mole-rat). RNAcentral describes it as "lncRNA (ENSHGLG00100038924.1)". Lineage: Eukaryota; Metazoa; Chordata; Mammalia; Rodentia; Bathyergidae. The record is from RNAcentral.